CUAAACCAGGACUAAACCAGGACUAAACCUACGCGGGUGCACCUCCGGCGUUUCUCUGCAGCUGAUUUGAGUGAAUUUGUAUCAAGAAAAACGAAAAAGCCGCCAUUUUAAUCCCGGUUUAAAAAGCUUUGUAAGGCGCGUUACUGACAUUUGUACCGAGUCAAAUAUGUCACAAACCUGUGCUUUUUCCUCCCGAGAGUCGUGGAGUCCGAAUCAGGGGACGGUCAGAAGCUGUCUUUGUAGAAAUAUCCCAAAGAUGAGGCUGGUGUCCGUAGAAAAGUUCAGAGUAGGUUUAAUUGCGCACUUUCUGGUCUCGACCAAAGUUUGCAAAGAUUGCAAUGUUUGAAAGAUGCACGUAGCAACAAAAAUAACAACAGCACGCACGUGCGCACUGACGUAAGCACGCUGGCGUCUUGGCGCGUUCUAUAGACAAAUCCCGCAAAACGCGGAAGUAGAGCGGAAGUGAAGCCGCGGCGCCAUUCCUGCGGUGCUGUGCGGCUAAGGAAGUAGCAGGAGUAGUAGUGUGUAGGCCGUAGCGGGAGUUGUUUACAUGUUCGCCAAAGUCCGUCUAGAGUUCAGUUUCUAUAUUGUUCAAGUGCGUGUGUUCAGUAAUGCCGGGAAGAUCUUGUUGUGUGUUGGGCUGUUUUAACAACAGUGUGAAAUGACAGGCCUGGAACAAGAGCGUGUGUGAAGUUCCCAAGCCGCUGUUGCACCUUGAUAGUCCGUGUUUACGGCCGGAUGGAGGCAGAGAUUGCCUGGGAGAGUGAAGGACCAAGAUUUGCGUCAGAAGUGGCUGAAAUACAUAAACCGACAAGGCUUCGAGCCAAACAAGAAUAGUGUGGCGUGUGGGAUACAUUUUCCUGAUGGACAACCUACAACAGAAAAUCCAUAUCCUGUUUUGUCCAUGGGUUAUGAUUGUUGUGUUGCAUCAGCUAGACCUCCUCCCAAAAGAAGAUGUCUUCAGCCAUUGCACAUGAACUCAAGUACUGAACCUGGACCUGAAACUGAACCUGAAGCUAUGGAAACAGAUGUCACAGAGAUGCCUCUGCAGACGUGUGAUGUUGGAAUUCAGUGGCCAGAUCACAUCGACCAUAAUUACAGUUUCAGCUACAGUAACAAGCCGGCGAUGAAGGACUGUGGCACUCAAACAGAUCUUACACCGUCAGUGUCAGCACAACAUUUAAAUGAGAAAGACUUUGUGUUUUUUACUGGUUUAUGCGCUGACAGUUUCUGGCAACUUCUGCACGUCGUUUUGACUUUUUGCUCACAACCACUUCUUAAUACCAGAUUGGCCAUCCAUGAACAAGUUUUGCUUGUUUUAAUGAGAUUGCGUCUGGGUUUAUUGUUUACUGACUUGGGGAAACGGUUUGGGGUGAGUAGAACCUUGGCAUCUAAAGUAUUUGCAUUUUGGAGACCAAUCCUUGCCAGGUUUAUGAGGGAAAAGGUAAUUGUUUGGCUGCCCAGGCAUUCACUGAACAGAAUCAGGCCCAAGACAUUUCACAAACAUUAUCCUAAAGCCACAUGCAUUACUGACUGUACAGAGGUCUUUGUACAAACACAAAGAACUUAAGAAAAAGAUCACAAACUUAUAGCAAUUACAAACAUCAUAACACAUACAAACUCCUAUACUGUAUACCCCCAAUGGCUAUGUCAUGUUUGUAUCCAGACUUUUUGGUGGAAGGGCCAGUGAUAAAUACAUCACAAAGAACUGUGGUUUUCUUCAUCACCUCAUACCUGGAGAUGAGAUCUUAGCAGAUCACGGAUUCACCAUCCAGGAUCUAUUGCCUCCAGGAGUGCGUCUCGCUCUUCCUGCAUUCACACGUGGACGUAAGAAGCUGUCUGAACGUGAGGUGACAUCCGGCCGUCGCUUAGCAAAUGUCAGAAUUCACGUUGAGAGAGCAAUACGAAGACUGAAAGGUUUUAACAUUUUGUGUCAUGUUUUCUCUGGUAGGUUGCAAAGUGUCGAUGAGAUUGUAACUAUUUGUGCAGGGUUAUGUAAUUUGCAACCUCAGUUAAAUCCAUGACAGCACUGAAUGAAAGAAAAAGAAACAACUGAAAUGAAUUACUUAUUAAAGAAGGUCACAGUAUACCAAAUAUUACUUGUAUUUCAGCAGAAAAAUCAACUAAGCAGCCGACAGUUUCAGACAACAAUGUAAAUAGUUGUACAGGUUUAAACCGUGAACAGAUGUUGAACUCUUGUUGUGUAUCAAGUUAACAUGACAAUGCAGUGUUGACAAUUAAAAUGUAACAUUUUUAACUGAACACAUAUUGAACUGUUGAUUUAUGUAUUACCGGUAUGUUGUCAUGCACAUACAUUUUUGUACUUUUUUUAUGUGCAUAUUAAAGUUUAAGUAUCUACUUGAGCCCACAAAUUUUCAUGAUCCCUUGUGCUAUUCGUGUUGCAUUUCCCUAAACAUGAGCAGUGGGUUUGACCGAGACACGUGGGACAGAGGGAAGAGGACGCUCCACGCAGCACCACGUGAUCACGACAAAGACUUUAUUAAAGACUUUAUUAAACAAGGAUUAAUAAAUAAAUACAAAACUAAAAGUGACAACGUCUG
This is a long non-coding RNA of Boleophthalmus pectinirostris (great blue-spotted mudskipper), 2561 nucleotides long. RefSeq lists it as uncharacterized. The transcript has 3 exons. NCBI's taxonomy places the organism in Eukaryota, Metazoa, Chordata, Actinopteri, Gobiiformes, Gobiidae. The record is from RefSeq and is a predicted model, not a curated record.